RNAcentral lists this ribosomal RNA (836 nucleotides) under marine metagenome. RNAcentral describes it as "bacterial SSU rRNA". It matches the Rfam family "Bacterial small subunit ribosomal RNA", at positions 287 to 1141 of the family's 1533-position model. The record is from RNAcentral.
CUGAUUUGAGAGGAUGAUCAGCCACAUUGGGACUGAGACACGGCCCAAACUCCUACGGGAGGCAGCAGUGGGGAAUCUUGCACAAUGGAGGAAACUCUGAUGCAGCGAUGCCGCGUGAGUGAAGAAGGCCUUUGGGUUGUAAAGCUCUUUCGUCGGGGAAGAAAAUGACUGUACCCGAAUAAGAAGGUCCGGCUAACUUCGUGCCAGCAGCCGCGGUAAUACGAAGGGACCUAGCGUAGUUCGGAAUUACUGGGCUUAAAGAGUUCGUAGGUGGUUGAAAAAGUUGGUGGUGAAAUCCCAGAGCUUAACUCUGGAACUGCCAUCAAAACUUUUCAGCUAGAGUAUGAUAGAGGAAAGCAGAAUUUCUAGUGUAGAGGUGAAAUUCGUAGAUAUUAGAAAGAAUACCAAUUGCGAAGGCAGCUUUCUGGAUCAUUACUGACACUGAGGAACGAAAGCAUGGGUAGCGAAGAGGAUUAGAUACCCUCGUAGUCCAUGCCGUAAACGAUGUGUGUUAGACGUUGGAAAUUUAUUUUCAGUGUCGCAGCGAAAGCGAUAAACACACCGCCUGGGGAGUACGACCGCAAGGUUAAAACUCAAAUGAAUUGACGGGGACCCGCACAAGUAGUGGAGCAUGUGGUUUAAUUCGAAGAUACGCGCAGAACCUUACCAACACUUGACAUGUUCGUCGCGACUCUAAGAGAUUAGAGUUUUCGGUUCGGCCGGACGAAACACAGGUGCUGCAUGGCUGUCGUCAGCUCGUGUCGUGAGAUGUUGGGUUAAGUCCCGCAACGAGCGCAACCCUCACUUUUAGUUGCCAUCAUUAAGUUGGGCACUCU